Molecule: ribosomal RNA, 465 nt
Filed under: uncultured bacterium
Lineage: Bacteria
Description: bacterial SSU rRNA
Rfam family: Bacterial small subunit ribosomal RNA
Source: RNAcentral
GGACCCGCACAAGCGGUGGAUGAUGUGGUUUAAUUCGAUGCAACGCGAAAAACCUUACCCACCUUUGACAUGUAUGGAAGAUCGCAGAGACGCGAUUGUGCUCGAAAGAGAGCCAUAACACAGGUGCUGCAUGGCUGUCGUCAGCUCGUGUCGUGAGAUGUUGGGUUAAGUCCCGCAACGAGCGCAACCCUUGCCAUUAGUUGCUACAUUUAGUUGGGCACUCUAAUGGGACUGCCGGUGACAAACCGGAGGAAGGUGGGGAUGACGUCAAGUCCUCAUGGCCCUUAUAGGUGGGGCUACACACGUCAUACAAUGGCUGGUACAAAGGGUUGCCAACCCGCGAGGGGGAGCUAAUCCCAUAAAGCCAGUCGUAGUCCGGAUCGUAGUCUGCAACUCGACUACGUGAAGUCGGAAUCGCUAGUAAUCGUGGAUCAGAAUGUCACGGUGAAUACGUUCCCGGGUCUU